RNAcentral lists this ribosomal RNA (301 nucleotides) under uncultured bacterium. Its description in RNAcentral is "partial 16S ribosomal RNA". It matches the Rfam family "Bacterial small subunit ribosomal RNA", at positions 509 to 807 of the family's 1533-position model. The record is from RNAcentral.
CAGUCGCCGCGGGAAUACGUAGGGUGCAAGCGUUAAUCGGAAUUACUGGGCGUAAAGCGUGCGCAGGCGGUCCGCUAAGACAGAUGUGAAAUCCCCGGGCUUAACCUGGGAACUGCAUUUGUGACUGGCAAGCUAGAGUAUGGCAGAGGGGGGUGGAAUUCCGCGUGUAGCAGUGAAAUGCGUAGAUAUGCGGAGGAACACCGAUGGCGAAGGCAGCCCCCUGGGCCAAUACUGACGCUCAUGCACGAAAGCGUGGGGAGCAAACAGGAUUAGAUACCCCAGUAGUCCCUGUCUCUUAUAC